Drosophila willistoni is the source of this 530-nucleotide long non-coding RNA. RefSeq lists it as uncharacterized. NCBI's taxonomy places the organism in Eukaryota, Metazoa, Arthropoda, Insecta, Diptera, Drosophilidae. The record is from RefSeq and is a predicted model, not a curated record. The transcript has 2 exons.
UUAAUUAUAUAAUAAUCAGCAUGUAAUUGUGUCAUAUAACUAAAACAUAAUAAAAUGUUCAUGGCAUCAGAAACCAAAGAAAAACUAAAAAAUGUUCAUUGAACUUUACCUGUAUUGAGAAAAUACAUGUGAACACUUUGCUAGAGUUAUAUAAAUGAAUCAAAAUUCUUUAUGAAGGAAGUACUUAUAUAUACAUAAAAGAACGCCAAAUUCUUUCACUGACAAUUCCAGUUCCAGUGUUGUCUUGUCAUAAAGUUUUCCUAUAAAUACUCUUGUAUCGCACUAAACAUUUAACUAAAGAUGAAGUUCCUAUACGGAUUAGUUGCUAUCAUUGUCGGUCUCAUGGUUCUGGGCCAGUCACAUGGCUCUGCUGAACCCCGAGCUAGACCCCCACCAAAGCCCAGGCCACCACCAAAGGGUUAGGAUUGGAGAUGAGUAAUAUUCGUCAAGUAAACAAUCGAAUUUGUUAAUAUUAAUGGAUGUAUAGAGUCCUUUAUUAUUAAGAAAAGAAUACAUUUGGAACAGAGCAA